Molecule: ribosomal RNA, 257 nt
Filed under: uncultured Stenotrophomonas sp.
Lineage: Bacteria; Pseudomonadati; Pseudomonadota; Gammaproteobacteria; Lysobacterales; Lysobacteraceae
Description: partial 16S ribosomal RNA
Rfam family: Bacterial small subunit ribosomal RNA
Source: RNAcentral
GGCGGACGGGUGAGGAAUACAUCGGAAUCUACUCUGUCGUGGGGGAGUAACGUAGGGAAACUUACGCUAAUACCGCAUACGACCUACGGGUGAAAGCAGGGGAUCUUCGGACCUUGCGCGAUUGAAUGAGCCGAUGUCGGAUUAGCUAGUUGGCGGGGUAAAGGCCCACCAAGGCGACGAUCCGUAGCUGGUCUGAGAGGAUGAUCAGCCACACUGGAACUGAGACACGGUCCAGACUCCUACGGGAGGCAGCAGCU